RNAcentral lists this ribosomal RNA (253 nucleotides) under uncultured bacterium. RNAcentral describes it as "partial 16S ribosomal RNA". It matches the Rfam family "Bacterial small subunit ribosomal RNA", at positions 524 to 776 of the family's 1533-position model. The record is from RNAcentral.
UACAGAGGGUGCGAGCGUUGUUCGGAAUUACUGGGCGUAAAGGGCGCGUAGGCGGCUUACCAAGUCAGGCGUGAAAUUCCCGGGCUCAACCUGGGGGCUGCGCUUGAUACUGGUGAGCUUGAAUGCGGGAGAGGAUAGUGGAAUUCCCAGUGUAGAGGUGAAAUUCGUAGAUAUUGGGAAGAACACCGGUGGCGAAGGCGGCUAUCUGGCCCGUAAUUGACGCUGAGGCGCGAAAGCGCGGGGAGCAAACAGG